RNAcentral lists this non-coding RNA (29 nucleotides) under Mus musculus (house mouse). The record is from RNAcentral. Lineage: Eukaryota; Metazoa; Chordata; Mammalia; Rodentia; Muridae.
UGGGUAAGCCUGUGACUUAGUCUUAUCAA